This 2317-nucleotide long non-coding RNA is filed under the name Erythranthe guttata (spotted monkey flower). RNAcentral's name for it is "long non-coding RNA (EGUT_LNC000112)". Lineage: Eukaryota; Viridiplantae; Streptophyta; Magnoliopsida; Lamiales; Phrymaceae. The record is from RNAcentral.
ACCAAUGAAAUCAAGACAACAAACACAUGAUAAAAAUCAAACACUAUUCUUUCUGCCAUAAUCAACAUCCAGUCAACAAUAAGAUAAAAAACACCGACCUAAAAAUCCAUAAAAUUAACCCAAACACAACUUCCAACUGAGCUAACAUAUCUAAAUAUCCACGUAAUGAUAAUUCAAAACACAAUCUUCAAGAUUGUAAGGCUAAGCGCUACUACUCGUCUUCCAAACGAUAAAAAAUAGUCGUGAUAAAGAAAGAAAAAUCUACCAUAUAAGUGCGAUGCUACUGUCCAUCUCUACCAGCUCCUCCAGGUUGUCUUUCACGCAUCUCUUGAAUGGUUGUUUUCAAGGCUUGCAGUUCCUCUUGAAAAAUAGCCUGCAUAUCGGUUAAUUUUUGCUCCACCGCUCGAUUAGCAGCUUCUUCGAAUGAAGGAGUUUCAAAUAAGCAUUGAGAAGGUACAGAUGAUGCUGAUGAAGAACCGGUUGGAGCAUGAAAUGUAGGACCACCUCCUUGUGAACUGGACUCCGAUCCGAGACCGUAAACUCUUCCUUUUAUUGGCCCUCCAACUGCCUCGAGCCACGCUUUAUCAAUAACUUGUUUAGGAAGAGCAGAUGCUAUUGCCAUGAAUGCAUCAUCUCCAUCUUCUCCUUCGUCUUCCUCUUGAUUUUCGAUUCUUGCGUCUUCAUUUCCUUCGCCACCACCCUGUGUCCCAGACAUGUCACUUGUAUGACGACUUUUGACGACGGUUUGAAAUUUAGCCUGAAACAUCACAAAUUUUAAGAAUUAAUACAUAUUGAAUAAAUAUACAUUUCUUCAUUAAACUAUAUAAUACAUUAUCAAAUAAAUGAAACUUGUCUAACAACAUGAUCAGAAGCAGUAACUGAAAACACACAAAAAAAUAUUAAAAAACAAUCAUAAGAAAUUUCAUCCAGAACUCAAUUCUUGCAGCAUAACAUUUUUAUAUUAUAGUAAAGUAGAUGCUUACCCAGACAGAUUUUGAUUUUCCAUCAAUCCAAUCAUUAUUCUGUUUCGUUUUGUGAAUCAUCAAAAAAAACUCAGAAGCAGUAGACUAUACUCAUUUCUCUUUCACCUAAAAAUAAAAUAAAAGACUAUUGCUCAAACUUACACUUCCUUUAUGUUCAAAAUGUCUUCUUAUUGUCGUGUGGUCUUCCGCGGGCCAAUUGUACAACUUCUGCAUGUAUUCAAUAUAAAUAACACAUAAAUAAUUUUCAAAUCAUGACCGACAAUGAAUAUUAUAUUAUUUUUAAAGAGAAUUCAAAGUAAUGAGAAGCUCUAAAAUGCAAGACAUGUUUUGUGAAAUAUUAAUUAGACAAACUAAAGUAUUCAAAAUUAUACCAGACUAUAAAUUACUGUGUUGCACAUAUAUAUGAUGUUAUAUUACUAUGACAAUCACCUUAAUUCUACGCUAUCAUAUUCAGCCUACUAUCACUUCGAAAAGAAAAUGCAUAUACAGUAUGUUGAGGUACACUUAGAAAAUUCACUCAAGAAAAGUGCAUAAACAUAAAAUGCAGUUUCAAAUCAACACCAGUAAUUACUCAAGAACUAGUUGUAGAAUUUUUUUAAUCUAAAGUGAACAUACCUCAAAUUCAUUAAACUAACGGUCUCUAACAUAAUCCGGCACCUUCUUCCACAUAGGCCAUGAACCACUGAAUGCUCUUUUGAAUAUUGCAACCAAUUUUCUCGUAGCACUUGAAGGAUCAAAGCUGUUAAAUAAAUAAAAAAUAUUUAUGUUAACACAAUAUAUAUCUAUUAAAUAAGGUGAUCAAAGUUUACCUAUCUCUGUCCAUUUUGAAUAAAAUUCGUCUGGUAGCAAUUCUUUCUUGUGAGAUAGUCGUUUGUAAACUCUUAUAAACUCAUCUGUCAAUCAUUUUCGACUCUUCACAAGUCUAUUAUACAUCCAAGUACGAUCACUUCUAAUAGAACUCAUUAUUGCUACAUUCAAAAAACGAAGUUGAUGAAUUACACACAAGAAAAAAAAAUGUUAAAUAAACAAUUGCUCUUGUGAACAGUGCCACAAAUUAUUGUCAGCAUAUAAUCUGCAAUAUCCCAAAAAUUAUACACAUAAUCCAAUUAGUAGUGAAAGAUAAGGGUUCCCCUAAUAUUUAUAAAUUUUGAGUAAUUCUACAGAAUCGAAAUUCCCGUAAGUUUUUGUGCUAAAUUUACUCUUUUAACUACAUAAUGUCCCCAUUCAAUCAAUAUACACCGAGAGAGACUAGAGGCAUAAUUAAUUUAAGAAAAUCUAUAACAUUAAGGGUAGAAGUUUACCUGAUUUUGGACAUCGCUUUGAGAAGUACUUUC